AUAAACUGUCAGUUUGGAGUUAAACAGCAGUUAAACGUCGGAAAAUAGGGAUUUUGGCUGUGAGCAGCUUUUUCCUUUUACAACCUUAAAGAUGUGACGAUGUUUGGAGGUCGACUGGCAGCGGGGAGUUUGUGAGAGUGGAUCAGAGUCGUUUUGGGGAGUAAUAGUGAGCGCCUCAUACAGCUGUCUGGAGGAGAACUGCGGAGCCUGGAAACAUAUGAUCUGAGAAGGUGUGUUGUGUCCUCCUGUCUGCUGCUACCAGGAUGCAGUUCUCAGUCAACCUGAGCCUC
Micropterus salmoides (largemouth bass) is the source of this 290-nucleotide long non-coding RNA. RefSeq lists it as uncharacterized. The record is from RefSeq and is a predicted model, not a curated record. Lineage: Eukaryota; Metazoa; Chordata; Actinopteri; Centrarchiformes; Centrarchidae. The transcript is spliced from 3 exons.